Molecule: ribosomal RNA, 497 nt
Filed under: uncultured bacterium
Lineage: Bacteria
Description: partial 16S ribosomal RNA
Rfam family: Bacterial small subunit ribosomal RNA
Source: RNAcentral
GACGAACGCUGGCGGCGUGCCUAAUACAUGCAAGUAGAACGCUGAAGAGAGGAGCUUACUCUUCUUGGAUGAGUUGCGAACGGGUGAGUAACGCGUAGGUAUCCUGCCUUGUAGCGGGGGAUAACUAUUGGAAACGAUAGCUAAUACCGCAUAACAAUGGAUGACACAUGUCAUUUAUUUGAAAGGGGCAAUUGCUCCACUACAAGAUGGACCUGCGUUGUAUUAGCUAGUAGGUGAGGUAAUGGCUCACCUAGGCGACGAUACAUAGCCGACCUGAGAGGGUGAUCGGCCACACUGGGACUGAGACACGGCCCAGACUCCUACGGGAGGCAGCAGUAGGGAAUCUUCGGCAAUGGGGGCAACCCUGACCGAGCAACGCCGCGUGAGUGAAGAAGGUUUUCGGAUCGUAAAGCUCUGUUGUAAGUCAAGAACGGGUGUGAGAGUGGAAAGUUCACACUGUGACGGUAGCUUACCAGAAAGGGACGGCUAACUACGUG